Molecule: ribosomal RNA, 466 nt
Filed under: uncultured bacterium
Lineage: Bacteria
Description: partial 16S ribosomal RNA
Rfam family: Bacterial small subunit ribosomal RNA
Source: RNAcentral
GACGAACGCUGGCGGCGUGCUUAACACAUGCAAGUCGAACGGUAAGGCUCCAGCUUGCUGGGGUACACGAGUGGCGAACGGGUGAGUAACACGUGGGUGACCUGCCCUGCACUUCGGGAUAAGCCUGGGAAACUGGGUCUAAUACCGGAUAGGACCAUGGUGUGGAUACUGUGGUGGAGAGUUUUUUCGGUGUGGGAUGGGCCCGCGGCCUAUCAGCUUGUUGGUGGGGUAUUGGCAUGCCAAGGCGGUGACGGGUAGCCGGCCUGAGAGGGUGGACGGCCACAUUGGGACUGAGACACGGCCCAGACUCCUACGGGAGGCAGCAGUGGGGAAUAUUGCACAAUGGGCGGAAGCCUGAUGCAGCGACGCCGCGUGCGGGAUGACGGCCUUCGGGUUGUAAACUCCUUUCACCAUCGACGAAGGGUUUCUGACGGUAGAUGGAGAAGAAGCACCGGCUAACUACGUG